Molecule: long non-coding RNA, 638 nt
Organism: Ricinus communis (castor bean)
Lineage: Eukaryota; Viridiplantae; Streptophyta; Magnoliopsida; Malpighiales; Euphorbiaceae
Exons: 2
Source: RefSeq, a predicted model, not a curated record
AUAUAUAUAAUCUUAUGCAUGUAAGAAUGUUGGCCACAAACUAUUUGCAGUAUCCUUCCUCAUUUCUCAGCACAUGCGUUUCUAUAUCAGUAUAUGAACUUCAAUUAUGCUAUUGGACAAGAUACACCAUGGAAAAGAUGAUAAACAAGAUGCCAAAAAAGGAAGAAGACCAGUCUGUACAAUGGCAGUUGUGGUGGUGAUAACGUGCAAUAACAGUUCUGCUAAUGAAGAUCGCUGUGGAUAUCAAAUGCGUUCAGUUUUCUCAUUGUGACAAGGAUUCUUUGUGUAGCAUUGCUCAUGACUGGCUGCAACAAGCAAGCGAGUGUUGGAGCUAGUAGUAGUCUGAUAAUUAUGUGAUAAAUUUGGGUCAAUAUAUAUAUUUUUUCCACUUUAACAUGUUUUCUUUUUUAUGGGCACUGGGUCUGGAAGUAGAGUGUUCAUAUAUGAUGGCAUUGUCUAGCACAAGUGGUGCAGGAUUAUGUGCGCUUGUUUUUACACGGGUAUACCUUUAAUAAGAAGGCAUGCAAGUCAAUGUUUGUGUUGAUUAUGUCAUUUUCUUGAUUAUGUCUCUUUGCUUUUCUUGUGUUCAUUUCUCAUCAAGGGGAAUGCUAUACAGUAAUGAAGAAUUUUGUUUUCUC